Molecule: unclassified non-coding RNA, 378 nt
Filed under: plant metagenome
Description: partial contains 5.8S ribosomal RNA, internal transcribed spacer 2, and large subunit ribosomal RNA
Rfam family: 5.8S ribosomal RNA (bases 1-105)
Source: RNAcentral
GAAAUGCGAUAAGUAAUGUGAAUUGCAGAAUUCAGUGAAUCAUCGAAUCUUUGAACGCAGCUUGCGCUCCUUGGUAUUCCUUGGAGCAUGCCUGUUUGAGUAUCAUGAAAUCUUCAAAGUAAAUCUUUUGUUAACUCAAUUGGUUUCUACUUUGGUAUUGGAGGUCUUUGCAGCUUCACACCUGCUCCUCUUUGUUCAUUAGCUGGAUCUCAGUGUUAUGCUUGGUUCCACUCGGCGUGAUAAGUUAUCUAUCGCUGAGGACACUGUAAAAGGUGGCCAAGGUAAAUGCAGAUGAACCGCUUCUAAUAGUCCAUUGACUUGGACAAUACUUUUAUGAUCUGAUCUCAAAUCAGGUAGGACUACGCGCUGAACUUAAGC